GAAGGCCUACGAAGAGAUGUUCAAAACAUCUCUCGCUUAUCAACUCAAUAUUCGUUUGUUGAGGGAGUAGUUUUGGGCUACAUCAAAAUCAUUUUAAUCUUAUUAAAAGAACUUGGGCCUAUCAUAACCAUUGGUCCAAGUUAAUAUGAAUUAGUAGUUUAUAAUACUCCCACUAUUUCGAAGAAACAAGCGAGACUAUAUGGAACUACUAACGAAUGCAUUGCAUCCUCUUAUGGACUAUAUAGUCAUAUUAGGUUUUAGGAUGAUUAUGAACUGUUUAAUUUGAUCCAACACGAGCCUUGUGUUGGACCUUGGGUUUAAGGUAGAUAGUUGUUGAUUUUAGUUACGCGUUUAAUCCAAUUAAACCGUUAUUUCCUAUUGGGCGUUGGACCCAACUAUUCCAUUUUGCAUACAAUUAAACAAAUAGGAAUACAUGAAAUAAUAAGAAGGGCUUAUGCCCUUUUACAACACAAAUGAUGGACUUAUGUCCAUUUACAACAAAUUGAAGUAAUCAAAUUACAUUCAAAUCUACACUACCAAACCCAAACAUUCAUAAUGUAAAGCGGCCAAUCACAUAGCUCAAUUAUCGAGGCCUUUGGUUCAUAAUCACCAUUUUCUUAAUCAAUCACAUUAACUAAGAAAGCAACUUAAACAAUUGGUUUUUGGAUCCAUAGAAUUGAUUUAAAUGGAACUAAAUGAAAUGAAAAUCCAAUUCUCAUUAAAGAGACAAAACAAUUUUGUUCUCAUUUUAUUUGGGCCAAAAGGAAACUAUGACCACAACAAUUGGGCCACAAUGCAAAAACACAAACUUUUGGGAUCACUUUGAAAAACACAAAAGUCCACAACUUCAUGUAAUUUCAACUAGAACCCAAAAUUUUAAUAAUGUAAAAACAUCAUUGAAGGAUCAAAACAAUUCGUCCUUUAGAGUUUUUGGGCCUUAACGUAAAAACGUAAACUUUUGGGCCAAAGUGCAAAUACACAAAAGUAUCAAAACUUUUAUGUAAUUGCAUAAUAGGCCCCAAAAGUACCCCCACUAGGGGGUGGCCGGUUUUUGGAGUGUGAAAGAGUGUGAAAGGGAUUUUAUGCAAGCGGUGCAUGCAUGUGCAAUAUGCAAGUGGAAUUGGUGGGUGAGGUUAAAGGUGAAUGGGAUGGGUUGUAAGAGAAAUGUUUUUGUGAAACAUUAAUAGCAUUAAUCAUCCUUCACCUAUAACCAUCACCCAUCAUAAAUAAACCAAAACUUUAUUUAAAACACCAAACACUUUGAAUCAAAAAACCAAACCUUUUUGUUCUUGGUUAGAAACUCAAGAACAUUGAAGAACACACAUGAAAACUCAUAAGAGCUCCAUGAAUGUUUUCACUCAUUAAAACUCAAAUUUUCACUACUCAAAAGAGGGCUAACAUCCUAGGGUACUUAGGGGUUCCAAAAGUCACCUUAAAACCAUUUUAACAAGACAAACAUGAACCCAAAAAAUCACCCUUCGGAUUUGGCCGAAUUUCCAAACAUUCAUGGCACCAAAUUUUAGUUCCAAUAUUCAUGCUUAAAUGAAAUACAUCUACAACAUUUGAGAUGCUAAAUUUUCUAGCAAAAUUUAUAUUCAAAGCAAGAACAAAGCUUGUAACAUUUACAACAUUUAAAUCACAAAUCAUGAAAAUCACAAAACCCAAAAGGAUUCACCAUAAACUAGGCCUAGGCUCUGAUACCACUUGAAGGAAAAAAUAUGUCCUAGCUACGAACAUGUAAGAACAUUUGAAUACAUAUGCAAACUAUUAACACUUUAAAGUAGGCAUGCAUUCAAAAACAAUUCAUAAAACCCAUGACUUUCAAAGCCUAGUAUAUGGUGAACCAAUAAACUCUUUAACAACAUUAAAGAGAAGGAAAGAUUUAGAGUUCCUUUACCCUUGAAGCUCAUCCUUGUUUACACAAGGGAUUCACCCAAGUGGAGGGCCUUCAAGUCACCUCCUUGCUCCUUGGAUCUUCCUUGUGAUUUUCCUCCUUUUAGUGCUCCUUUGCUUCUUUGAGGAUUUGAGGAUUAGUUCUCCAAAAAACAUCAAAAGCUUGAUGUCUCUAAGUCUCCACA
RNAcentral lists this long non-coding RNA (2078 nucleotides) under Malus domestica (apple). Its description in RNAcentral is "long non-coding RNA (MDOM_LNC016708)". Lineage: Eukaryota; Viridiplantae; Streptophyta; Magnoliopsida; Rosales; Rosaceae. The record is from RNAcentral.